Molecule: non-coding RNA, 69 nt
Organism: Phrynosoma platyrhinos (Desert horned lizard)
Lineage: Eukaryota; Metazoa; Chordata; Lepidosauria; Squamata; Phrynosomatidae
Source: the annotation of a GenBank genome assembly
GACGUGGCAUAGUGGUUUGAGCAUUAGACUACAACUCUGGAGACCAGGGUUCGAUUCCCAGCUUGGCCA